This 450-nucleotide ribosomal RNA is filed under the name uncultured bacterium. RNAcentral's name for it is "bacterial SSU rRNA". It matches the Rfam family "Bacterial small subunit ribosomal RNA", at positions 29 to 506 of the family's 1533-position model. The record is from RNAcentral.
ACGAACGCUGGCGGCAGGCUUAACACAUGCAAGUCGAACGCUCCGCAAGGAGAGUGGCAGACGGGUGAGUAACACGUGGGUGAUCUGCCCUGCACUCUGGGAUAAGCCUGGGAAACUGGGUCUAAUACUGGAUAUGACCUGCUCUCGCAUGGGGGUGGGUGGAAAGAUUUAUCGGUGCAGGAUGGGCCCGCGGCCUAUCAGCUUGUUGGUGGGGUAAUGGCCUACCAAGGCGACGACGGGUAGCCGACCUGAGAGGGUGACCGGCCACACUGGGACUGAGACACGGCCCAGACUCCUACGGGAGGCAGCAGUGGGGAAUAUUGCACAAUGGGCGGAAGCCUGAUGCAGCGACGCCGCGUGAGGGAUGAAGGCCUUCGGGUUGUAAACCUCUUUCAGCAGGGACGAAGCGUGAGUGACGGUACCUGCAGAAGAAGCACCGGCUAACUACGU